UGGUUAUUCUAGUUUUACAUUCUUCUAAAUUUUUUUCAAAGUUUUCAACUUCUUUGCCUUUGGUUUGAAUGUCCUUCCGUAGCUCAGAGUAAUUUGAUUGUCUGAAGCCUUCUUCUCUCAGCUCAUCAAAGUCAUUCUCCAUCCAGCUUUGUUCCGUUGCUGGUGAGGAACUACAUUCCUUUGGAGGAGGAGAGGCGCUCUGCGUUUUAGAGUUUCCAGUUUUUCUGUUCUGUUUUUUCCCAAUCUUUGUGGUUUUAUCUACUUUUGGUCUUUGAUGAUGGUGAUGUACAGAUGGGUUUUUGGUGUGGAUGUCCUUUCUGUUUGUUAGUUUUCCUUCUAACAGAGAGGACCCUCAGCUGCAGGUCUUUUGGAGUACCCUGCAGUGUGAGGUGUCAGUGUGCCCCUGCUGGGGGGUGCCUCCCAGUUAGGCUGCUCGGGGGUCAGGGGUCAGGGACCCACCUGAGGAGGCAGUCUGCCCGUUCUCAGAUCUCCAGCUGCAUGCUGGGAGAACCACUGCUCUCUUCAAAGCUGUCAGACAGGGACAUUGAAGUCUGCAGAGGUUACUGCUGUGUUUUUGUUUGUCUGUGCCCUGCCCCCAGAGGUGGAGCCUACAGAGGCAGGCAGGCCUCCUUGAGCUGUGGUGGGCUCCACCCAGUUGGAGCUUCCAGGCUGCUUUGUUUACCGAAUCAAGCCUGGGCAAUGGCGGGCGCCCCUCCCCCAGCCUCGCUGCCGCCUUGCAGUUUGAUCUCAGACUGCUGUGCUAGCAAUCAGCGAGACUCCGUGGGCGUAGGACCCUCCGAGCCAGGUGCAGGACAUAAUCUCGUGAUGAGCCUUUUUUAAGCCUGUCGGAAAAGCGCAGUAUUCAGGUGGGAGUGACCCGAUUUUCCAGGUGCCGUCCGACACCCCUUUCUUUGACUAGGAAAGGGAACUCCCUUACCCCUUGGGCUUCCUGAGUGAGGCAAUGCCUCGCCCUGCUUCGGCUCGCGCACGGGGUGCGCACCCACUGACCUGCACCCGCUGUCUGGCACUCCCUGGUGAGAUGAACCCGGUACCUCAGAUGGAAAUGCUGAAAUCACCCGUCUUCUUCGUCGCUCACGCUGGGAGCUGCAGACAGGAGCUGUUCCUAUGUGGCCAUCUUGGCUCCUCCCUAUGAACUCUUUUUUACAGGUGAGGGGACAGAGGCCUGGAGGAAUGCAAUGCCUUUUUUGCAAUCAUUCAUGUUUUGGGAACUUUCUUCUUUAUCAAACUUUAGUGCUAAAUCAUGGUUUCUGGUAGUGUAGGAAGACAUUAUGCAGUUUUGAAAAAUAAAGCCAGCUGAGAGUGAGGCUGAUGCCGAGUCAUGGGAGAGUAUGUCUGAGCAAUUCCAGCAUUUUUGUUUCACUUAUCAUGGGCCAUCUUUU
Molecule: long non-coding RNA, 1400 nt
Filed under: Homo sapiens (human)
Lineage: Eukaryota; Metazoa; Chordata; Mammalia; Primates; Hominidae
Description: HSALNT0038421
Source: RNAcentral